Long non-coding RNA from Orbicella faveolata, 1353 nucleotides. The record is from RefSeq and is a predicted model, not a curated record. NCBI's taxonomy places the organism in Eukaryota, Metazoa, Cnidaria, Anthozoa, Scleractinia, Merulinidae.
GUUGGGAAUGAACUAAUUGUGCUAUAGAAUAUUGAGGAAGAUAGAGAAAUGGAAAUCCCGGCCUUCAACAUUAGGAGUUUAUAGUUAUUGUUUAGGGCGUAUUGAUGUCAAAAGUAAUGUAUCGAUAUCGUUUAUAUAAUGUACUAUCAAAUGCUUGGAAUGCCCGAGGACAUGAAAAGUUCGCGGAAAGAAAGUAUAUGUUAAAAUGAGAUUUUGUGCAUAAAGAGCAAUCCAAUCAUUCAGAGUUUGCUCAUUUAUUUGUGGGGUGGCGCGCCAGUACACUGUACUCCGGAUCGAGCAUACUGGGUUCCAGCCCUAGUAAGGAUUAUUGCAUUGUGUUCUUGGGCAAGACACUAGUUUCACAGUGCCCUUCUCCACUCAGGUGUAUAAAUGGAUAGCAACGAGUUGUAGGGGCAACCUCACAGAACGGUAGGAAGUAACUGAUCUGCGAUGGACUAGCAUCCCACCCAGGGGGAGUAGCAAUUCUCCUAAAUUUCAAGUUGGGCUUAUUGCUGGGAUAUUGGUAUUGUUGGGCUUAAUGUUUGGGUAUUUGUUAGUUAACUGAUUAACUCCAUGUCUUUGAGAACACGCCAAAAAUGCUAUUGUAACUGAAGAUGUUAUUGUUUUUUCCGGCUAUAGCUCAAAGCUGCGGAACAUAUUAGGAGAAAUUUGGCGGAAGCUAAAGAAAUCGCUCUUCCUGAUGAGGUUAAAAAAUCCCUUCUGUCACAAUCAUGUGACGCCAAAGAGGUUAUACUUCAACUACAGCUGAAGCAAGCUUCUCUGGAACAACCAGAUUGUGAGACCAAGGCAUUGAUCCGUUGCUUGGCAAGGAAAUCUAAAGAUUCAGACAGGCAUGACGUGUUCCAACAUUUGAGAAAGAUUACACCAGCUGGAACUACUGGCCCUCUUUUGUCUGAGCAACUUGAUGUUCGAAAUAUCCCUGUUUCCAAGGGAAGAAAGGUUACAAUUAACUUGUGCGGUAAGUGUUACUUUUUUGUGUAGAACAAAUAGUACCAUAUCCUAAACUUAAAGCCAAUCAUGUUCAAACAAAAUUAUUCAAAGUUAGUUUAGAGUAAUCGACUGGGUGAAGGUACUUCUGAAAAUUAAAAAAAGACUCUUGUUGCCUAUGAGCUAGAAACCACAGAAUUGAGUGGGACUUUGGUAGACCAACUUUGAACAAACGCCUCUCAAAUUUCAACAGUCACGGCUGACUUGCAUCUUACAAACGACUUAUUCACGACCUGAACAAAACCAACGUAGGGAUAUAAAAAAGAACGACUUAAUUUGACUGUCAAUAGGCAGCCAACGACAUCACGGAGAACUUACCAACAUUUGCCGGUCAAUGACAAUGAU